GCAAGUCGAACGAGAAGAGAUGAGAAGCUUGCUCUAUAAUUCGAGUGGCAAACGGGUGAGUAACGCGUAAGCAACCUGCCCUUCAGAUGGGGACAACAGCUGGAAACGGCUGCUAAUACCGAAUACGUCUUUUGUCGCAUGGCAGAGGGAAGAAAGGGAGGCUCUUCGGAGCUUUCGCUGAUAGAUGGGCUCGCGUCCGAUUAGAUAGUUGGUGAGGUUAAACGGCCCACCAAGUCGACGAUCGGUAGCCGGACUGAGAGGUCGAACGGCCACAUUGGGACUGAGACACGGCCCAGACUCCUACGGGAGGCAGCAGUGGGGGAUAUUGCACAAUGGGGGAAACCCUGAUGCAGCGACGCCGCGUGAGGGAAGACGGUCCUCUGGAUUGUAAACCUCUGUCUUCGGGGACGAAACGAGACGGUACCCGAGGAGGAAGCCACGGCUAACUACGUG
Molecule: ribosomal RNA, 453 nt
Filed under: uncultured bacterium
Lineage: Bacteria
Description: bacterial SSU rRNA
Rfam family: Bacterial small subunit ribosomal RNA
Source: RNAcentral